AAGAGAAAUUAAUUGGUGUUUUUGAAAAGAAUAGGGAUAUUGAUUUGGUAAUAUAAUUAAAUUUACUAAUAUACCGAUAGAUUAAUGUAUUGUGAAAGAUUUUUGAAAAAAUGAAAAAUAAUUUUUUAAGAAGUUAUAUGUUGUACCUUUUGUAUUAGGGAUUAACUAAAUUAAUUAAAUAUUUAUUUGUCCCGAAAAAUUUUGAGCUACUUAUACAUUUUUGUGUUGUUGCAGAAAUAUAAAUUAGUGUUGAGUAGAAAUGAAAUUUUAUUCGAAAAAUUGGAUAUCUGGUUAUUUUAGAAAAAUUAAAUAUUUUAAAUAAUUAGUACAUUUUAAUGAAGUUAUUUAUUUUCUUUUUAGGGAUAAGCUUUAAAAGCGAAUAUAAAGGUAUAAUGAGUAAUUGUUUAAGGUUUAGAAGUUACUAGGUUUUUGUAAUAAAAUAGCUAAAGAAUUUUUUAUGUUUUAUUUGAAUUUUUUUUAAAUAAUUAAAAUUAAGUAAAUUUAUGUUAAUAUCAGUAUAAGUUUUGAUUUUUUUAAAAAUUGAUAAUGUCUUAAUAUAGUGAUUAAAUUUAUAGGAAUUAGGCAAUGGAGAUUUUUGAAUGUUUAUCAAAAACAUUGUAUUUUGAGAUAAUAAAAUAUAAAACCUGCUCAAUGAUGCUUAAAUUGCUGUGGUAUUUUGACUAUACGAAGGUAUUGAAAUAAGGCUUUAAUUGAGUGCUAAGAGAAUGGUUUAACAAAAAUUAACUUUCUUUAAAUUUAUAAUAGAAGUUGAUUUAAAAAUGAAAAAGUUUUUAUUUAUUUUUGGGACAAGAAGACCCUAUGAAUUUUUUUUUAUAAUUUUAUUUAAACUUUUUAAAUUAGUAAAUGAAAUAUAGAUUAUAAGUUGAUUGGGGUGAUUUUUAAAGAAUAUUUAUCUUUAAAAGUUGAAUAAAUUAGAACCAAAAAUUUUGGUUGUUUGAUUAAAAUACUCUAGGGAUAACAGCGUAAUUAUUUUGGAUAGUUCAUAUAGAUAAAGUAGUUUGCGACCUCGAUGUUGGAUUAAGAUACUAAUAUAAUGAAGCAGUUAUAUAAAGAAGUUUGCUCAACUUUUAAAUUCUUACAUGAUCUGAGUUCAGACCGGCGUAAGCCAGGUUGGUUUCUAUCUAAAUAAUUAAAAGUAAUUUUUAUAGUACGAAAGGAAUUAAUUAUGUAAAUUAUUUAAUUAAUUAGGAUGUGAGUUAGAUUAAUGUAUCUA
Molecule: ribosomal RNA, 1234 nt
Filed under: Ornithodoros sp. 1 SWH-2019
Lineage: Eukaryota; Metazoa; Arthropoda; Arachnida; Ixodida; Argasidae
Description: partial large subunit ribosomal RNA
Rfam family: Archaeal large subunit ribosomal RNA (bases 975-1133)
Source: RNAcentral